RNAcentral lists this ribosomal RNA (630 nucleotides) under uncultured Nitrososphaerota archaeon. RNAcentral's name for it is "bacterial SSU rRNA". It matches the Rfam family "Archaeal small subunit ribosomal RNA", at positions 71 to 704 of the family's 1478-position model. The record is from RNAcentral. Lineage: Archaea; Thermoproteati; Nitrososphaerota.
GCAAUGCGUGGCAUACGGCUCAGUAACACGUAGUCAACAUGCCCAGGGGACGUGGAUAACCUCGGGAAACUGAGGAUAAACCGCGAUAGGCCAAGGUUUCUGGAAUGGACACUGGCUGAAACCUAUAUGGCCCCUGGAUUGGACUGCGGCCGAUCAGGCUGUUGGUGAGGUAAUGGCCCACCAAACCUGUAACCGGUACGGGCUUUGAGAGAAGGAGCCCGGAGAUGGGCACUGAGACAAGGGCCCAGGCCCUAUGGGGCGCAGCAGGCGCGAAAAUUCUGCAAUAGGCGAAAGCUUGACAGAGUUACUCUGAGUGAUGCCCGCUAAGGGCAUCUUUUGGCACCUCUAAAAAUGGUGCAGAAUAAGGGGUGGGCAAGUCUGGUGUCAGCCGCCGCGGUAAUACCAGCACCCCGAGUGGUCGGGACGAUUAUUGGGCCUAAAGCAUCCGUAGCUUGUUCUGCAAGUCUUCCGUUAAAUCCACCUGCUCAACAGAUGGGCUGCGGGAGAUACUACAGGGCUAGGAGGCGGGAGAGGCAAGCGGUACUCAGUGGGUAGGGGUAAAAUCCUCUGAUCCACUGAAGACCACCAGUGGCGAAGGCGGCUUGCCAGAACGCGCUCGACGGUGAGGGA